RNAcentral lists this ribosomal RNA (254 nucleotides) under uncultured bacterium. RNAcentral's name for it is "partial 16S ribosomal RNA". It matches the Rfam family "Bacterial small subunit ribosomal RNA", at positions 524 to 776 of the family's 1533-position model. The record is from RNAcentral.
UACGUAGGGGGCAAGCGUUGUCCGGAUUUAUUGGGCGUAAAGAGCGUGUAGGCGGCCAAGCAGGUCCGCUGUGAAAACUCAGGGCUCAACCCGGAGACGCCAUCUGAUACUGCGGUGACUGGAGUCUGGUAGGGGAACACGGAAUUCCUGGUGUAGCGGUGAAAUGCGCAGAUAUCAGGAGGAACACCGAUGGCGAAGGCAGUGUUCUGGGCCAGUACUGACGCUGAGGAGCGAAAGCGUGGGGAGCAAACAGG